This 285-nucleotide unclassified non-coding RNA is filed under the name uncultured fungus. RNAcentral's name for it is "partial contains small subunit ribosomal RNA, internal transcribed spacer 1, and 5.8S ribosomal RNA". The stretch from base 1 to 73 matches the Rfam family "Eukaryotic small subunit ribosomal RNA", at positions 1759 to 1831 of the family's 1831-position model. The record is from RNAcentral. Lineage: Eukaryota; Fungi.
CCAAACUUGGUCAUUUAGAGGAAGUAAAAGUCGUAACAAGGUUUCCGUAGGUGAACCUGCGGAAGGAUCAUUAACAGAUUUUCAAUAAUCCAUAUCCACCUUGUGUGCAAUUUUGCAUAAAGUUAAUAAUGUCCUUUGGAAAAAUUGUUUUCAUAAUAGUUUUUCCAAAGAGGUUAUUAUAAUCAAUCUAUUUUUCUUCUCUUCAUCAUGUCUAAAAUUAUAUUUAAAUAAAAAAUAACUUUCAACGACGGAUCUCUUGGCUCUCGCAUCGAUGAAGAACGCAGC